CGAGCUGCGGCGUGCCUAAUACAUGCAAGUCGAGCGAAUGAUAGGGAGCUUGCUCCCUGGAUUUAGCGGCGGACGGGUGAGUAACACGUGGGCAACCUACCUGUAAGACUGGGAUAACUUCGGGAAACCGGAGCUAAUACCGGAUAAUUUCUUUUCUCGCAUGAGAGGAGAUGGAAAGACGGUUUCGGCUGUCACUUACAGAUGGGCCCGCGGCGCAUUAGCUAGUUGGUGAGGUAAUGGCUCACCAAGGCCACGAUGCGUAGCCGACCUGAGAGGGUGAUCGGCCACACUGGGACUGAGACACGGCCCAGACUCCUACGGGAGGCAGCAGUAGGGAAUCUUCCGCAAUGGACGAAAGUCUGACGGAGCAACGCCGCGUGAGCGAAGAAGGCCUUCGGGUCGUAAAGUUCUGUUGUUAGGGAAGAACAAGUACCAGAGUAACUGCUGGUACCUUGACGGUACCUAACCAGAAAGCCACGGCUAACUACGUGCCAGCAGCCGCGGUAAUACGUAGGUGGCAAGCGUUGUCCGGAAUUAUUGGGCGUAAAGCGCGCGCAGGUGGUUCCUUAAGUCUGAUGUGAAAGCCCACGGCUCAACCGUGGAGGGUCAUUGGAAACUGGGGAACUUGAGUGCAGAAGAGGAAAGUGGAAUUCCACGUGUAGCGGUGAAAUGCGUAGAGAUGUGGAGGAACACCAGUGGCGAAGGCGACUUUCUGGUCUGUAACUGACACUGAGGCGCGAAAGCGUGGGGAGCGAACAGGAUUAGAUACCCUGGUAGUCCACGCCGUAAACGAUGAGUGCUAAGUGUUAGAGGGUUUCCGCCCUUUAGUGCUGCAGCUAACGCAUUAAGCACUCCGCCUG
Molecule: ribosomal RNA, 860 nt
Filed under: Bacillus sp. (in: firmicutes)
Lineage: Bacteria; Bacillati; Bacillota; Bacilli; Caryophanales; Bacillaceae
Description: bacterial SSU rRNA
Rfam family: Bacterial small subunit ribosomal RNA
Source: RNAcentral